CCUGGAACACGGGGGGUGGGGCAAAGGGACCCGCUGUCCUUACUGCAUACAAAGCAGACCCCCAUCAAUGCUAUAUGCAGGGAACACAGCUUUAUGGGAAGGAAAACCAAAGGAGGUAUGGAAUGAGCCCGAGAAAGAAGGAAUCUGAGGGUCAGAAGCCCCUACAGCAUGGUCAUCCAGGCCAUUCUUCUGCUUCCAACUUCUCUGAAUCACUCCAGCCCUCACUGCCAUACUGUUUCCUGACUGUGCAAAGUACUUGCUCAAAAGGCAUAACUGAGGCUUUGCACUCAAUUGUGAUUAGUGCAGAACUUUCUAGAAUGUGGGUUCUGUGUUUUUCAUGCACACAUUUUGUCUCUUCCAAGACUUAGGUUUCCUGAAGGGAACAACAGUUAUUCUGAGCUUUUCUACAUCCCAUGUGCCCAACACCAGCAAACACAUUCACCCAGGACUUUCAUGGUUAGGGCUGAAAUGACAUCUACAGAGCUGACCACAUCAGAGGCCUGACCUCGCCCUUCAUCUUUCCUCAUUCUCUUUUGUGAGCCAAUGAAAUUCUCCCUUGGAUAUAACCAAAGUCCUUCAGUUCAGUUGACCACAUUUUUCUGCUGUUGUAUUGGGAUGGGAAGAACUUCCUGGCAUCCUGGUAACACUGAGGUUGGGGUCUGCCCACCUUCUCCUAUGACUCCCCAUACAAGGAAAACUCCCAAAAGAGUUCUCAACCCUCUGAUUCUGUACAUCCAUCCCUACAGCUGCAGUCCUCAUGCCUUUGAAGGAAGGGCCCAAGGAUAGGCAAUCCCGUGAACUCUGGCUGUUUUGUUCUAGUCUCUCUGUGUCCACUCUUACUAGAAGAAACUUCAUCAAUAGUGGCAGAUCAUCUUUGCCACUUCUCCCAAGAGUAAGAAAUCUGACUGCCUGACUGUCAUACUGGGAGGAAGCCCAAGCUAGCCUGGAGAGAGAUGUUCUCACCAAUCCCCAGCUUCUCCAGUCAUCCCAGUCCGAGGACCCAACAUGUGAGUAUAGGAGCCAAAUGAAGCUUCCUGUCCCAGCACGUGCCACAUGGAGAAAAACUGAGGUACGCAACCAAGAGCCAGAACCAAGGCUCCAGAUACAUGGCCCCACUGAGCUACACCAGCAUCUCCAGGCAUCAGAGCUACCCCAGCUGAGGUCUCCAUCAUUGCACAGCAGGGACAGGCCAUUUCCACUGCAUGUUGCCUGCGCUGCUGACUGAUAAAACCACAAACAUAAACAAAUGGUUUUUCUAUGGCA
Molecule: long non-coding RNA, 1263 nt
Organism: Felis catus (domestic cat)
Lineage: Eukaryota; Metazoa; Chordata; Mammalia; Carnivora; Felidae
Exons: 2
Source: RefSeq, a predicted model, not a curated record